This is a small nucleolar RNA of Chanos chanos (milkfish), 65 nucleotides long. NCBI's taxonomy places the organism in Eukaryota, Metazoa, Chordata, Actinopteri, Gonorynchiformes, Chanidae. The record is from RefSeq and is a predicted model, not a curated record.
CCUCGAUGACGAAGAUACUUAGCUCACUUUGAACCCAUGUGAAAAGUUCUGAACAACUGAGAGAC